This is a long non-coding RNA of Varroa destructor (honeybee mite), 499 nucleotides long. RefSeq lists it as uncharacterized. Lineage: Eukaryota; Metazoa; Arthropoda; Arachnida; Mesostigmata; Varroidae. The record is from RefSeq and is a predicted model, not a curated record.
GGAUGGACUCGUUGUGACAAGACGACUCGGGUGACUGUUAUGGUAAAGGCAGCCAGAGCAUUCACAGGUCCAGUAGCAAAACAAGUGACCGUAUGUCACUCUUCAAGGAGAGGCCCGAAGCUUACAAGAUCUACAGAUAUUUGGUCUAGCCAUGAACUUUGUAUGAAGGUUAAACGCGCCAGCCAGUCCGCCUCUUCUUAAAAUCGCCAUUCAAUUCCACGGUAAUGAUUUACGUGACAAAUAUAUAUCACGCAACCGGGUGGUUAAGUCCGUGGCGGUUCUACGGAAAGAAUAGAAGCAUCAGCUAUUUGCGCACACUCACGCGUCAAGUAACCCUAUGCCUUCUAUAUUUACGGGGAUAGAGUAAUUCUCUUGGACAAUUAAAGCUUAGCUUUAGCUUAUCGCUUAAAGACUAAGGAAGGAGAUGGAUCUAACUUCCGUUCAGAUGCUGGCUGCGCCUACUGAAAGAACUCCCGAAUUGGAAAUAGCUUUCUGCAUU